AUUGAACGCUGGCGGCAUGCCUUACACAUGCAAGUCGAACGGUAACAGGUUAAGCUGACGAGUGGCGAACGGGUGAGUAAUGUAUCGGAACGUGCCCAGUCGUGGGGGAUAACUGCUCGAAAGAGCAGCUAAUACCGCAUACGACCUGCGGGUGAAAGCGGGGGAUCGCAAGACCUCGCGCGAUUGGAGCGGCCGAUAUCAGAUUAGGUAGUUGGUGAGGUAAAGGCUCACCAAGCCGACGAUCUGUAGCUGGUCUGAGAGGACGACCAGCCACACUGGGACUGAGACACGGCCCAGACUCCUACGGGAGGCAGCAGUGGGGAAUGUUGGACAAUGGGCGCAAGCCUGAUCCAGCCAUGCCGCGUGCGGGAAGAAGGCCUUCGGGUUGUAAACCGCUUUUGUCAGGGAAGAAAAGGUUCUGGCUAAUACCUGGGACUCAUGACGGUACCUGAAGAAUAAGCACCGGCUAACUACGUG
Molecule: ribosomal RNA, 477 nt
Filed under: uncultured bacterium
Lineage: Bacteria
Description: partial 16S ribosomal RNA
Rfam family: Bacterial small subunit ribosomal RNA
Source: RNAcentral